Molecule: long non-coding RNA, 628 nt
Filed under: Struthio camelus australis
Lineage: Eukaryota; Metazoa; Chordata; Aves; Struthioniformes; Struthionidae
Description: lncRNA (ENSSCUG00000016103.1)
Source: RNAcentral
AUGUUUGCUGCAGGAGCUGCAGAAAAUGAAAAGCAACAACAACGAAGACAAAAUAUGCAGAAGGGGCUGUUGGAGUGGAGACAGAAGCAGAGCGUUGAUGAAGGACAUGCUGGUGGAUUGUUCCUGCACAGGAUGCCAGCCUCAGCCCAGUCAUACUCUGGAGCCCAGAGGGACCAGUGCUUAUUGAGGACAGCAGUACACUUGCUGAAGUGCAAAACAGAAGCCCUUUCCUUCCUAUUGCAAAAGCAAGGGCAACAAAACCAGCAAAUGCCCUGGAGCUCCCACCUUUGUGUUCUGGCAAGGACAUCAGACAGAAUCACCACAUCUAUACCCACCCAGGGGCUUUGCGGCCUUAUUGGGUUCACCCAGCAGCUAUUCCACUGUUGUAUGGUUCAUGUUUUAUUGACAGCAUUUCACAGAUUGUUCUGUGGGUGGGUCUGUGACUUGUUUGAUGGAAAAUUUUGCCUGGAUUUGCCUGAUGAGAGGUUUUACUGCUUGCAGUAUUUGAUUUUCAGUAAAGGUUAUUUUUGACAAAAGUGUUAAAGUUUCAUAAAUUUAUAUGUUAUCUCAUAAACAUCGUAAAAUGCCUUUUUGACAAAUCUAAUAAAUAUAACAAAAUGCCCUCUCA